Molecule: ribosomal RNA, 2194 nt
Filed under: Vibrio anguillarum
Lineage: Bacteria; Pseudomonadati; Pseudomonadota; Gammaproteobacteria; Vibrionales; Vibrionaceae
Description: bacterial LSU rRNA
Rfam family: Bacterial large subunit ribosomal RNA
Source: RNAcentral
GGUUGAGUAACAUCAACUGGAGGACCGAACCGACUAAUGUUGAAAAAUUAGCGGAUGACUUGUGGCUAGGGGUGAAAGGCCAAUCAAACUCGGAGAUAGCUGGUUCUCCCCGAAAGCUAUUUAGGUAGCGCCUCGGACGAAUACUACUGGGGGUAGAGCACUGUUAAGGCUAGGGGGUCAUCCCGACUUACCAACCCUUUGCAAACUCCGAAUACCAGUAAGUACUAUCCGGGAGACACACGGCGGGUGCUAACGUCCGUCGUGGAGAGGGAAACAACCCAGACCGCCAGCUAAGGUCCCAAAUUACUACUAAGUGGGAAACGAUGUGGGAAGGCUCAGACAGCCAGGAUGUUGGCUUAGAAGCAGCCAUCAUUUAAAGAAAGCGUAAUAGCUCACUGGUCGAGUCGGCCUGCGCGGAAGAUGUAACGGGGCUAAGUAGUAAACCGAAGCUGCGGCAAUACAGUUUACUGUAUUGGGUAGGGGAGCGUUCUGUAAGCCGUUGAAGGUGUGUUGUAAAGCAUGCUGGAGGUAUCAGAAGUGCGAAUGCUGACAUGAGUAACGAUAAGGGGGGUGAAAAACCUCCCCGCCGGAAGACCAAGGGUUCCUGUCCAACGUUAAUCGGGGCAGGGUAAGUCGACCCCUAAGGCGAGGCUGAAAAGCGUAGUCGAUGGGAAACGGGUUAAUAUUCCCGUACUGCUUAUAAUUGCGAUGGGGGGACGGAGAAGGCUAGGUGGGCCAGGCGACGGUUGUCCUGGUUCAAGUGCGUAGGCUAAGAGACUAGGUAAAUCCGGUUUCUUGUUAGGCUGAGACACGACGUCGAGCUGCUACGGCAGUGAAGUCAUUGAUGCCCUGCUUCCAGGAAAAGCCUCUAAGCUUCAGAUUAUAAGCAAUCGUACCCCAAACCGACACAGGUGGUCGGGUAGAGAAUACCAAGGCGCUUGAGAGAACUCGGGUGAAGGAACUAGGCAAAAUGGUACCGUAACUUCGGGAGAAGGUACGCUCUUAUUGGUGAAGUCCCUCGCGGAUGGAGCUGACGAGAGUCGCAGAUACCAGGUGGCUGCAACUGUUUAUUAAAAACACAGCACUGUGCAAAAUCGCAAGAUGACGUAUACGGUGUGACGCCUGCCCGGUGCCGGAAGGUUAAUUGAUGGGGUUAGACUUAGGUCGAAGCUCUUGAUCGAAGCCCCGGUAAACGGCGGCCGUAACUAUAACGGUCCUAAGGUAGCGAAAUUCCUUGUCGGGUAAGUUCCGACCUGCACGAAUGGCGUAAUGAUGGCCACGCUGUCUCCACCCGAGACUCAGUGAAAUUGAAAUCGCUGUGAAGAUGCAGUGUACCCGCGGCUAGACGGAAAGACCCCGUGAACCUUUACUACAGCUUGGCACUGAACAUUGAACCUACAUGUGUAGGAUAGGUGGGAGACUUAGAAGCGCAGUCGCUAGAUUGCGUGGAGUCGACCUUGAAAUACCACCCUUGUCGUUUUGAUGUUCUAACGUAGGCCCCUCAUCGGGGUUGCGGACAGUGCCUGGUGGGUAGUUUGACUGGGGCGGUCUCCUCCCAAAGAGUAACGGAGGAGCACGAAGGUGGGCUAAUCACGGUUGGACAUCGUGAGGUUAGUGCAAUGGCAUAAGCCCGCUUAACUGCGAGAAUGACGGUUCGAGCAGGUACGAAAGUAGGUCAUAGUGAUCCGGUGGUUCUGAAUGGAAGGGCCAUCGCUCAACGGAUAAAAGGUACUCCGGGGAUAACAGGCUGAUACCGCCCAAGAGUUCAUAUCGACGGCGGUGUUUGGCACCUCGAUGUCGGCUCAUCACAUCCUGGGGCUGAAGUCGGUCCCAAGGGUAUGGCUGUUCGCCAUUUAAAGUGGUACGCGAGCUGGGUUUAGAACGUCGUGAGACAGUUCGGUCCCUAUCUGCCGUGGGCGUUGGAAGAUUGAAGGGGGCUGCUCCUAGUACGAGAGGACCGGAGUGGACGAACCGCUGGUGUUCGGGUUGUCAUGCCAAUGGCAUUGCCCGGUAGCUAAGUUCGGAAUUGAUAAGCGCUGAAAGCAUCUAAGCGCGAAGCGAGCCCUGAGAUGAGUCUUCCCUGGCACUUUAAGUGUCCUAAAGGGUUGUUCGAGACUAGAACGUUGAUAGGUUGGGUGUGUAAGCGCUGCGAGGCGUUGAGCUAACCAAUACUAAUUGCCCGUGAGGCUUAACC